RNAcentral lists this transfer RNA (87 nucleotides) under Pseudodesulfovibrio sp. S3. RNAcentral describes it as "tRNA-Leu". It matches the Rfam family "tRNA". Rfam says of the family: Transfer RNA (tRNA) molecules are approximately 80 nucleotides in length. Their secondary structure includes four short double-helical elements and three loops (D, anti-codon, and T loops). The record is from RNAcentral. Lineage: Bacteria; Pseudomonadati; Thermodesulfobacteriota; Desulfovibrionia; Desulfovibrionales; Desulfovibrionaceae. RNAcentral also lists the same sequence under 1 other name.
GCCAGGGUGGCGGAAUUGGUAGACGCAGCGGACUCAAAAUCCGCCGGGCGCAAGCCUGUGGGGGUUCGAGUCCCCCCCUUGGUACCA